This 496-nucleotide ribosomal RNA is filed under the name uncultured bacterium. RNAcentral's name for it is "partial 16S ribosomal RNA". It matches the Rfam family "Bacterial small subunit ribosomal RNA", at positions 28 to 507 of the family's 1533-position model. The record is from RNAcentral.
GAUGAACGCUGGCGGCGUGCCUAAUACAUGCAAGUCGAGCGAACAGACGAGGAGCUUGCUCCUCUGACGUUAGCGGCGGACGGGUGAGUAACACGUGGAUAACCUACCUAUAAGACUGGGAUAACUUCGGGAAACCGGAGCUAAUACCGGAUAAUAUAUUAACCGCAUGGUUCAAUAGUGAAAGACGGUUUUGCUGUCACUUAUAGAUGGAUCCGCGCCGCAUUAGCUAGUUGGUAAGGUAACGGCUUACCAAGGCAACGAUGCGUAGCCGACCUGAGAGGGUGAUCGGCCACACUGGAACUGAGACACGGUCCAGACUCCUACGGGAGGCAGCAGUAGGGAAUCUUCCGCAAUGGGCGAAAGCUUGACGGAGCAACGCCGCGUGAGUGAUGAAGGUCUUCGGAUCGUAAAACUCUGUUAUUAGGGAAGAACAAAUGUGUAAGUAACUAUGCACGUCUUGACGGUACCUAAUCAGAAAGCCACGGCUAACUACGUG